RNAcentral lists this ribosomal RNA (697 nucleotides) under uncultured archaeon. RNAcentral describes it as "bacterial SSU rRNA". It matches the Rfam family "Archaeal small subunit ribosomal RNA", at positions 164 to 864 of the family's 1478-position model. The record is from RNAcentral.
AGAUAUCUGGAAUGGUUUUUGAUCAAAAUCUAUAUGGCCUUUGGAUUGGACUGCGUCCGAUCAGGCUGUUGGUGAGGUAAUGGCCCACCAAACCUGUAACCGGUACGGGCUCUGAGAGGAGGAGCCCGGAGAUGGGUACUGAGAAAAGGACCCAGGCCCUAUGGGGCGCAGCAGGCGCGAAACCUCUGCAAUAGGCGAAAGCCUGACAGGGUUACUCUGAGUGACUUUCGCUAAGAAAGUCUUUUGACACCUCUAAAAAUGGUGUAGAAUAAGGGGUGGGCAAGUCUGGUGUCAGCCGCCGCGGUAAUACCAGCACCCCGAGUGGUCGGGACGAUUAUUGGGCCUAAAGCAUCCGUAGCCGGUUUUACAAGUCCUCCGUUAAAUCCAGCUGCUUAACAGAUGGGCUGCGGAGGAUACUAUAAGACUAGGAGGCAGGAGAGGCAAGCGGUACUCAGUGGGUAGGGGUAAAAUCCGUUGAUCCAUUGAAGACCACCAGUGGCGAAGGCGGCUUGCCAGAAUGCGCUCGACGGUGAGGGAUGAAAGCUGGGGGAGCAAACCGGAUUAGAUACCCAGGUAGUCCCAGCUGUAAACGAUGCAGACUCGGUGAUGGACUAGCUUUAUGCUAGUCCAGUGCCGCAGGGAAGCCGUUAAGUCUGCCGCCUGGGUAGUACGGUCGCAAGACUGAAACUUAAAGGAA